UUUAAACCCUAAAUAUGAAUGAUAUCUCAUAUUA
This 34-nucleotide transfer RNA is filed under the name Helobdella stagnalis. RNAcentral describes it as "partial tRNA-Leu". RNAcentral also lists the same sequence under 1 other name. Lineage: Eukaryota; Metazoa; Annelida; Clitellata; Rhynchobdellida; Glossiphoniidae. The record is from RNAcentral.